Molecule: ribosomal RNA, 467 nt
Filed under: uncultured bacterium
Lineage: Bacteria
Description: partial 16S ribosomal RNA
Rfam family: Bacterial small subunit ribosomal RNA
Source: RNAcentral
ACGAACGCUGGCGGCGUGCUUAACACAUGCAAGUCGAACGGUGAAGCUCCAGCUUGCUGGAGUGGAUCAGUGGCGAACGGGUGAGUAACACGUGAGCAACCUGCCCCAGACUCUGGAAUAAGCGCUGGAAACGGCGUCUAAUACUGGAUACGAGAUCAAGCCGCAUGGUUAUGGUCUGGAAAGUUUUUCGGUUUGGGAUGGGCUCGCGGCCUAUCAGCUUGUUGGUGAGGUAAUGGCUCACCAAGGCGACGACGGGUAGCCGGCCUGAGAGGGCGACCGGCCACACUGGGACUGAGACACGGCCCAGACUCCUACGGGAGGCAGCAGUGGGGAAUAUUGCACAAUGGGCGAAAGCCUGAUGCAGCGACGCCGCGUGAGGGAUGACGGCCUUCGGGUUGUAAACCUCUUUCAGCAGGGAAGAAGCGAAAGUGACGGUACCUGCAGAAGAAGCACCGGCUAACUACGUG